AAUCAAGUUCACACGCGUUGACUAAAAGUUUGUUCAAUGAUUUGAAAGCACACAAACAACAACUUGCAACAGAGACCGGAAAGUCUCAACUUGAUGUUUAUUUGGAUGAGGCAAGUGUGGAUUUAAGUUAUCAAAAUUUUGAUGACUUGAAUGUUCUUCAAUGGUGGAAGGAGAAUUGGAAUAGGUUUAAAGAGUUAUCUUUAUUGGCUCGUGAUUUGUUAGGCAUCCCUAUUACUACUGUUGCAUCUGAAUCUGCUUUCAGUAUUGGUUCGAUCAUUCUAAACAAAUAUAGAAGUCGCUUGUUGUCGAAGAAUGUAGAGGCAUUGAUUUGUACUCGCAGUUGGCUUCACGGUUUCAACAGUUUUGAUGUAGUGGGUGAUGAUGAAGAUAAUGAUGAUGGGAGCUUGGCGAAAAGUAUUACAACUGAAGCAUCAUAUGUUCAUGACGUAGAUGAAGAUUGAUGAGUGCAU
Molecule: long non-coding RNA, 470 nt
Organism: Lathyrus oleraceus (garden pea)
Lineage: Eukaryota; Viridiplantae; Streptophyta; Magnoliopsida; Fabales; Fabaceae
Exons: 3
Source: RefSeq, a predicted model, not a curated record